Molecule: transfer RNA, 69 nt
Filed under: Mephitis mephitis (striped skunk)
Lineage: Eukaryota; Metazoa; Chordata; Mammalia; Carnivora; Mephitidae
Description: tRNA-His
Rfam family: tRNA
About the family: Transfer RNA (tRNA) molecules are approximately 80 nucleotides in length. Their secondary structure includes four short double-helical elements and three loops (D, anti-codon, and T loops).
Source: RNAcentral
GUAGAUAUAGUUUAACAAAAACACUAGAUUGUGAGUCUAACAAUAAAAGAUUAAACCUUUUUAUCUACC